GAUAGCUCAGUCAGUAGAGCAUGAGAUUCUUAAUCUCAGGGUUGUGAGCCCCAGGUUGGGUGAAAGAUUCCUGCAUUGCA
This is a non-coding RNA of Podarcis lilfordi (Lilford's wall lizard), 80 nucleotides long. The record is from the annotation of a GenBank genome assembly. Lineage: Eukaryota; Metazoa; Chordata; Lepidosauria; Squamata; Lacertidae.